Pseudophryne corroboree (corroboree frog) is the source of this 760-nucleotide long non-coding RNA. RefSeq lists it as uncharacterized. The record is from RefSeq and is a predicted model, not a curated record. NCBI's taxonomy places the organism in Eukaryota, Metazoa, Chordata, Amphibia, Anura, Myobatrachidae. The transcript is spliced from 3 exons.
AUUAUAUUAUGUAAAGUGAGAUAAUAUUAAGUGAUAAAUUUUAUAAAUGAUGACGUCACGCCCGCCAAAGGGAGGCUUGGAACACAUACAGGAAGCAUCUCUUUGCUCCUGUGAUGCUAAGUAAACAUCAAUUUGGAUUUAAGUUUGAAUUAUUUGGUUACUCCUGCCUGAUAACACUUUUGCCUGUAUCAGAAACCACUAAUAAAGUAAUUUUAUUAAAUAAAGGCUCCUUCAUUUCAAUUUUAAGUAUAAAAUAAAUACUUUGAUUAAACAUAUCAAUUAAGCAAUCAAUAAAAAAAAGGAUAGGAAGUGAUGUAAUGGGUUGGGGAGCUUAAAUAGGGAGAUUGUGAGCUCAGCUAUUAUUCCACUAUUGGAUCCCUAUGCAUGCAGACCUAUAGGACUAUUGCUGGAAAACAAAAGGGGAUUGAUCACAUCCAGUCCAUAGGUGGAUUCUUGUGUUAUACAGACAUAUAGAAAAACUGCGGGUAAGCUAUGUUAAAAAUAUAUCCCUACUUUAUUGCGGUCUAAAGGGGAAUUUACAUUAAUGCUUUGUUUUUGUUAGGAAUAAAAACUUAACGAGGCUUGAUAAACAACUCAUAUAUACGUAAUUUGGAGAGAAAAAUAAUUCACCAGGUGGCCUUAAAUAAGAAACCCCACUAAAUGUCAUCAUAUCAUGGGAGCCUCUUUUCUCAAGUUUUCUAAUUCAUUUUACAAACAAUUCCUAGUAAGUAUAUUCAAACAAAAGAAGUGUCAUAAUAAA